GACGAACGCUGGCGGCGUGCUUAACACAUGCAAGUCGAACGGAAAGGCCCUGCGUUUGUGGGGUGCUCGAGUGGCGAACGGGUGAGUAACACGUGAGUAACCUGCCCUUGACUUUGGGAUAACUUCAGGAAACUGGGGCUAAUACCGGAUAGGAGCUCCUGCUGCAUGGUGGGGGGUGGAAAGUUUCGGCGGGUGGGGAUGGACUCGCGGCUGAUCAGCUUGUUGGUGGGGGAGUGGCUUACCAAGGCUUUGACGGGUAGCCGGCCUGAGAGGGUGACCGGCCACAUUGGGCCUGAGAUACGGCCCAGACUCCUACGGGAGGCAGCAGUGGGGAAUAUUGCACAAUGGGCGGAAGCCUGAUGCAGCAACGCCGCGUGCGGGAUGACGGCCUUCGGGUUGUAAACCGCUUUCGCCUGUGACGAAGCGUGAGUGACGGUAAUGGGUAAAGAAGCACCGGCUAACUACGUG
This 468-nucleotide ribosomal RNA is filed under the name uncultured bacterium. RNAcentral's name for it is "partial 16S ribosomal RNA". It matches the Rfam family "Bacterial small subunit ribosomal RNA", at positions 28 to 507 of the family's 1533-position model. The record is from RNAcentral.